AAUCACUUCAUAAAUAAUAGUAUAGAUAUAACAAAAUAUAAUAUGAUUUUAAAAAUCUAUGGGAAAAUUAAAUCAAUGCCGAAAAUAUUUACUGUCGCUAUAAGGUGAUGUUAUUUGGAACUUAAAUAAUCAUCCAUAAGCUUUUUUCUCUGUUUAGAGAGUUAUUUUUUUUUGUAAACUUGUUUAGAGAGUAUUUCCACUCUCUAUGCAGUAUUUUAGUGAAUAUUUUCUCGAAUGCUAACCAUUAGCUCAUGGAGAAAUUGGGGAGAUGGUAUGAUGCAAGAAAUGGAGUGCUCUACACAGGUUCUUUGCAACUUAUAAUGCAGCCUUGGAGUUUCUCUUUGUAUAUUUUCACCCAAUUGAUUUAGAUUUCCUUUUUUGGUUCUUAUAUUAAAAGGUCCAGGAGUAGUAGCGUCGAGAAUUUGCAUGGACAAAGCCAUCUCAGGCGCUUAGUCAUAUGCUAAAUGCUAACCAGCUGAUAUACUAUUUUUAUAUUGAAAAAUGUGAAUAAUACUGGAACAAAUUACUUUUUUUUUUGUAUGUGUGUGUCAUGUGUAACCAAUAGCUUUCAGAAUUUGGAGUUCGUAUCAUAAGCAAUGAAGUGAAGAUAAUAGAAGAUCCAUAAGACCAUCCCAGACAUUUGGGAUGAAUUGAUCACCAAGUUAAGUGUCCAACACUGUGUGUUAAACCAGCAAGAGAUGGUUGCUCCACUGGUGUUGCAUGAUUAUGAUAAAACUCUUAUUCAAAUGUUUUUUUUUUAAUUUUUGUUUCUUUAAACCUUGAGGCCUCUCCUGUAGUUCAUACGUUCGGGUUACCUAAAUAGUUAGUAAACUAAACUAACCUGAAUUCACUUGGAUUUUACCUUUAAUUCUCACAUAACUUUUGGACCCAUUUGUAAGGCUCAUUAAGACUGUCCAAUUGACAAGCAACCACAAAGUUUUGUAACCACAAAAUCGUGUGUUACAUAAAAUGCUCAGGCAAUCCCAAAAGCCUUAGAACAUCAAAGUCACACUAACACAAAAACUUAAUCGGCAUCUACGUCUAUAGUAUAAUUUAGUUAAACUUCACAAAAACAAUACAUAUUCUUUGCCAUAAUGCGGUGAAGAAAAUUCCUAUACAAAGAGCAGGAGAAACACUUAAAAACUCAAAAGUACCGUAAACGUAGAGGAACUCAGCAGGUGCUCAUAAACUCACCAUGUUUAACACCAGAAAGAAAAAAACAGGUCGAGAAGGUAGCCUUGAUUUACAUCAUUUCCAUUCAACAGUACUGGAAUCAGUUCUCAUCUCUUUAGUUCACCCUAUACUUUCCAGUUUGACAUUAGGAAACUACAGACUAACAAAUCCAAAUUUACAGCUGAAACAUUUAAUCACACUGUCAACUCUCUUAAGAGAUUGUCUACCAAGGAUUCCCAAAAACUUUUUCUGCAAAUCCUGUGGAGUACCAUAAAUAUAAAAAAAAAACUUGAUUAGCUGAACCAAAGGGCUUUGUCUUCCAAGAUAAUUUGAAAACAAUUUUCUCUUCUCUCUCAUCAAACGCAGAGCCAGACCAUUCCGCAUCGACACACGGUGUGUCACACACCUUUUGCCACGGAACUCGGUUUAGACAAUAGAAUCUUUAACAGACUCAUACCAGGAGCUCUUACCACUGCAAAAUGAAAGAAUCAAGACAACACAGUUCAAGUCUCGUCUCUGACGAAAAUUUAUGUAAUUAUUAACAAAAUAUAUUUAUACCCAAAAAUGAAUCUUUUGGCUCCCAAAUCCCAAUCUUUCAUGAUGGAGUGGUAAGAGAAAGAGGAAUUAGGGAGAUGGCUGAGUGUAAAACACACAGAAACAAACCAUUCUUUGUUGUCUGACUGUGGUUGUAUGAUUAAGGAGGACGUCGAUGUGACUGGUGCCGGAAAAUAAACCGUAAACGUAGAUCCACCGUACUGCUCUGUUUUCUGUCUCUUAAAAUUGUGCUUAUAUAUAUUAUUUGACUGUCAAAGGUAUAAUUAAGUAUUCCGUUAAUCCAUCAAACAACUAAUUUUUUCGAGAUGUUCGAACUCUCACACUGGCGGACAAGUAAGAGCAUAUUAUAUGCUAGACCAAAAUAACUUUCUUGUAUAGAUUGUGUAAACAUUAACUUAUAUAUAAGUUUUAGUUUAAUCAAAUAAACGUUAUCUAAAUUUUAUUGUUUUAGUUUUAUCAAAUAAACCUAUAAUUAUUUAUGUUUUCAAAUUUAACUUUAGAAAUCAUUACUUUUUUAAGUUUAAAUUAUUUAUUAUUAAUUCAAAUAUUUAUAUUAUACUUAUUCACCAGUGUGAGAGUUCGAAUUUCCCAAAAAGUAAUUUUUAGUUUUACAGAAAUUAUCUAAAAUGACGGGUUUUGAUAAAUUAACAGAUGACUAACAGCUUUCACAGUUAAUAUAUAUAAGCAUGAUUUUGAGAAUUUACGUAAUAUUUUCAAAAUUUCUAAUUUUACAGAAUCCAUCCAAAAUGACGCCGUUUUGAUAAAUUAACGGAUGGUGGCUAAUGCUUUUGACGGAUAAGCACGAUUAUGAGAAUUCAUAUUAUAUUAUUAUUUUUAUUUUUUUGCUUAGUUCAAUAUGGAAUAUGCAUUACUAUAAAGUUUGUGAAUGAAAAAAGCACGACGCGUAAAGUUUAUGUAGUAUUUUUAAAAUUUUGGGUUUAGUUCAAUAUAACAUACACACUCUUACAAAGUUCUAAAAGGAAUAAGCACAACGCUUAAAUUUCAGGUUGAGAUAUACCUUUUUUUGGUGAUGAGGUUGAAAUAUACCAUUUUACCUUAUGUUACGUGAAUGUUUUUGGGUGAGCGGUAAUGUAAUUUCAGAUAAGAGUCAAAUCGCAAUUUAUUAAGAGGUUAAACUUCUUACAAUUGGGCUUUGAGGCCCAUUAGGAUACAAUAAAUUAUCCGGAUAUGAUUCUUACGUUACGCGUCGCUAUCCAAAUGGGCCUUAUUGACGUAGUUUCUUGAAUGAGUUUAUUUCAGUGUGAAUUUGUAGUUGCGAAGACCCAAUUACACUUUUGAUAUAUAUAUAUUUGGGGUGAAUUUUGAAAUCUAGAUAUAGUAAAAAUUAAUUCGUAGUUUAAGGCACCAAGUUACCGUUAGAGUCAACAAAAAAGAGAAAAAUAAUAGAAUUUAAUUCAUGUUACCGUUAGAGCAAAUUAAAAAAAGAAAAAAAAAAGAGAAAAUAAUAGAAUUUAAUUCAUGACCGUUGGAGACAAAAAGAUCAAAUCUCCAGCCUCGCCUAUAAAUAAAGACCUCCUCUCGUACAGAACCUUACACUUGUCUUCUUCCUCUCUUACAGAACCUUAUGUUUUUUCUUUCUUAAAUAUAUUAUAUUAAUUCUUACCUAAAUUAGGGGAUUCGGAAAACAGAGAUCAACAACGAAACUAAUCUAAGCUAGCCAAGAAGAAAAGGUUGAGGGUGAUACGACUAGGGGAACGAAGCCCCUCCUCCGGUGAACACCGACAGCGUCGUAGUCGGACUCCGGGACUUCACAGGCGGAGGUGUCCAAGCCCAGCACAGAUCCGUCACCGUUAUCUUCAGUCCGCCAUCCACGGAGGUGUCCCGCGGCGGCCCCAAAACGUCGGACGCAAAACGAUGAAGAAGGUGUCCUUCCCGUCCAUCAUCACGGUUUGAGAGGAGGGCGGCUCAGAUGAAGAAGAAACAAUGGAAACCAUACAAACUCUCCGCCGUCGCCAACCCACCGCGAAUCUUCCCGUCCAGCAUCACGCUUGCUCUGAUCGUUCUUCACGCGGUUUAUCAGGUCUUCUCUUUUCUUAUUAUACAAACUUUGUUUUUCUUUCUGCCAACCAUGUUUCUCUGUUUUGAAUUGAAAUAUUUUUUUUUUAAAAAAACAUGUUUUUAGGGAAAUUUUGUAUAACUUGAUUGAUCAAUGGAGAGUUAAGUGUGAAUUUGUGACAACAUUUGAACACCCAGUCUUUGUAUCGUUAGAUGUUGUAAAUGUUUAUUUGGUUUAACACUUAUGAUCACUAAAUUCUUCUAAUCAAUCUAGAAACUAUAAAAUUUUCUUUUUUAAAAAUAAGUUUUCAAGGUUUUGGGGAAAUUUUUUAUAGAGCUUGAUUGAUCAUGGAAAGUUAGUGUAAAUUUGUGAAAUAAAUAGAGUGGGCUAUAUAUGAUGGUUAGAGGUAUUAUCCUUUCUCCAGUCAUUGUGAUCGUAAGCUGGUAGUAUCCCUUUAUUUGGUUUAACACUUAUGAUCACUAAUUUUUUCAUAAUUGAUUAAAGUUAUUAUAAAAAGUUUCCCUUGUUUUCAGUUCUUUCUUUGAUUUCUUUCUUUUAUAUUUUGUUGCCUUUUGUUUGUUCCAUAUGAUCGACUUGUCGUUUUGUUGUUUCAGGAUUCCGGUGGAUGCUUGCUUUGAUUGAUGAUGGCUGUUUUUGGUGUUUGGUCCUUCUCUGUUGGCGCUUUGUCAGCUUAGCCUGAUGGACGUAGAAGAAGAAGCUGUAAUUGGAACUUGAAUAAAGGUAUACGAGGAGAGGUAUAUUGAAGAUCAGUACGAAGUGUUGAAAGCUUCUGGUGGCGAGCGAAGGUUUCAAGCUGAGUUGGAUUAGCUUGGCACAGGAGUUGUUUGUUAUUAUCCUCAUCUUCUUGAGCGAUUGGGAAACAGAGAGAUUGAGAGAUUAGAGAGUAUAGAGGAACCGAUUGAGUUGUAAUUUGUGUCUUGUACUUGUAAAGUUGUAACCGUACAAAAGUUAUUAGUUUUAUCGAAAACAGAUAGAGAUAUA
Molecule: long non-coding RNA, 4747 nt
Organism: Brassica napus (rape)
Lineage: Eukaryota; Viridiplantae; Streptophyta; Magnoliopsida; Brassicales; Brassicaceae
Exons: 2
Source: RefSeq, a predicted model, not a curated record